UGCCAGCAGCCGCGGUAAUACGGGGGGUGCAAGCGUUAAUCGGAAUUACUGGGCGUAAAGCGCACGUAGGUGGCUUUGUAAGUCAGAUGUGAAAGCCCACGGCUCAACCGUGGAAUCGCAUUUGAUACUGCAUCGCUAGAGUAUAGGAGAGGGAAGUGGAACUUCUGGUGUAGGAGUGAAAUCCGUAGAGAUCAGAAGGAACACCGGUGGCGAAGGCGACUUCCUGGACUAUUACCGACACUGAGGAGCGAAAGCGUGGGGAGCAAACAGGAUUAGAUA
Molecule: ribosomal RNA, 279 nt
Filed under: uncultured bacterium
Lineage: Bacteria
Description: partial 16S ribosomal RNA
Rfam family: Bacterial small subunit ribosomal RNA
Source: RNAcentral